This is a long non-coding RNA of Nyctereutes procyonoides (raccoon dog), 429 nucleotides long. RefSeq lists it as uncharacterized. The record is from RefSeq and is a predicted model, not a curated record. Lineage: Eukaryota; Metazoa; Chordata; Mammalia; Carnivora; Canidae. The transcript has 3 exons.
UCGCCCUGGUUCCCAGGGCAGAACGAGACAGACCCUGGAGACACUACAGAUGGAAGACUACUGCAGGAGGGCCAGAGGUCCUGCAAUUUGGUCCAGAAAACAAACGGAACGGGAAGAGUCCAUGUUGGGUCUUACAAGGGCAAAACCAAGGCGUCAGCCAGGGUGGCCUCUGAUCAGGGAGUUCUGGGAAGAACCAUUUCCAAGGUCAUUCGGGUGACGGCCAAGGUCAUUCAGUGAGAGGACACAGAUUAAAGUCAGCAGCGGUAAGAGGCUGGUGGGGCCGGGCCCAGGAGAGGCCAGGUGUGAGCUUCCAGGUGUCCUUCCAGGAGGGCCAUGUGGACAGCCCUUCAUUCUCCCAGCAACAAUGUGUGACAACACAGGUGGAGUACUGCCAGCCAGGGACACCGACCUGAGCCUUAGGGUCCGGAG